Nematolebias whitei (Rio pearlfish) is the source of this 187-nucleotide long non-coding RNA. RefSeq lists it as uncharacterized. The transcript is spliced from 3 exons. Lineage: Eukaryota; Metazoa; Chordata; Actinopteri; Cyprinodontiformes; Rivulidae. The record is from RefSeq and is a predicted model, not a curated record.
AAAGACACUCUACACCUCGCUGCAUCAUGGCUACAUCUGCCCUCCUGCUUCUGGCAUUCUUUACUGGACUCUGUGCUCCAUGGUCAGAACAUGUGCAAAAGAGUGGACUUGCAACAGACGAAUCUAAAAUGACAGAGGGUUACAUGUCCAUGCUUUGCCCGCCAGUACCUCCCCUAUCGCUCGCCUC